Molecule: long non-coding RNA, 361 nt
Filed under: Mytilus galloprovincialis (Mediterranean mussel)
Lineage: Eukaryota; Metazoa; Mollusca; Bivalvia; Mytilida; Mytilidae
Source: RNAcentral
CUGUUUUUCGAAUGUACAUAUUCAGUCUUAAACAGUCCUCGGUUAUUUUAUGACCAAAGGAAGACAAAUGUUCAAAUUUUGAAACAAAUCCGUUAGGCAGCAAUGCAUUUAAACGUUUGGUUCUGAUUUUCGGUUGAGUACAGACAGGGCCAUUAACAUUUCUAAAACCCCUUAAGAUAUUCCAGCGUUCCUUCGGAGUGUUUGGCACAGAGAAUCGAAGUGACAGACUCUGGAUUGAAGCAUAUUGUAAUCCAAAAUACCCUUCAACAUAUUGUAAAUUUGAGUGACGAGGAAAUUCAAUUAAUAAUCCUCGCAUUUCACCAUAAGGAGUUUUUAUUCUAGACUUUCCGUGUUGUUGUUU